This 301-nucleotide ribosomal RNA is filed under the name uncultured bacterium. RNAcentral describes it as "partial 16S ribosomal RNA". It matches the Rfam family "Bacterial small subunit ribosomal RNA", at positions 355 to 647 of the family's 1533-position model. The record is from RNAcentral.
UAGGGAAUCUCCCACAAUGGACGCAAGUCUGAUGGAGCAACGGCCGCGUGAGUGAAGAAGGCUUUCGGGUCGUAAAACUCUGUUAUUGAAGAAGAACGUGUGUGACAGUAACUGGUCAUGCAGUGACGGUAUUCAAUCAGAAAGUCACGGCUAACUACGUGCCAGCAGCCGCGGUAAUACGUAGGUGGCAAGCGUUGUCCGGAUUUAUUGGGCGUAAAGCGAGUGCAGGCGGUCUUUUAAGUCUGAUGUGAAAGCCUUCGGCUUAACCGAAGAAGGGCAUCGGAAACUGGGAGACUUGAGU